RNAcentral lists this unclassified non-coding RNA (331 nucleotides) under soil metagenome. RNAcentral describes it as "partial contains 5.8S ribosomal RNA, internal transcribed spacer 2, and large subunit ribosomal RNA". The stretch from base 1 to 119 matches the Rfam family "5.8S ribosomal RNA", at positions 35 to 154 of the family's 154-position model. The record is from RNAcentral.
GAUGAAGACGUAGCAAAAUGCGAUAAGUAAUGUGAAUUGCAGAAUUCAGUGAAUCAUCGAAUCUUUGAACGCACAUUGCGCCCGCCAGUAUUCUGGCGGGCAUGCCUGUUCGAGCGUCAUUUCAACCCUCAAGCACAGCUUGGUGUUGGGACUCGCGUUAAUUCGCGUUCCUCAAAUUGAUUGGCGGUCACGUCGAGCUUCCAUAGCGUAGUAGUAAAACCCUCGUUACUGGUAAUCGUCGCGGCCACGCCGUUAAACCCCAACUUCUGAAUGUUGACCUCGGAUCAGGUAGGAAUACCCGCUGAACUUAAGCAUAUCAAUAAGCGGAGGA